This 11828-nucleotide long non-coding RNA is filed under the name Lactuca sativa (garden lettuce). Its description in RNAcentral is "long non-coding RNA (LSAT_LNC005946)". The record is from RNAcentral. Lineage: Eukaryota; Viridiplantae; Streptophyta; Magnoliopsida; Asterales; Asteraceae.
UUCGCCUUGCCAUGAUCUCCUAAAGCACCUGAAACAAUAAACCACAACUGUAAGCCCGAAAGCUUAGUGAGUUCCCCCAAAGUACUCAUACACACACAAACAUACGCAUACAGCAAAGAACAACAUACUUCGGGUCCAAUCAACCUUCCGGUUGGAAUACCCCCGGCCCUCAACCAUCGGGUUGGAAUGCCUACAUAAUUAAUAUGUGUAUUUUUAUAUAUAUUUUUAUGCAUUAUAUCUUAAUAUUUUGGCCUUUAUUAUUCUCUUUUAGAACUAAAAAGUACUCAUAAUGCUUUGAAUUAUGAUUUGCAGCUAUUCGUUGACGAUAAAGCACAAAAGAAAAGACUGAAGCGGAAACCGGGCUUAGAAGCUAAAAGUAAUUAAAAAUGCUGGAGCAACAAUUACGCCCCGCGUAAAUAGCAAUUAUGCUAAGCGUAGCGACCAAAUUGAAUUACGCCCAACGUAACUUAAGGGUACGCCCCGCGUAAUGGCUGGCACCGGAUAAACUCCAUCGCGUUGUAAUCCUUAGUACGCCCAGCGUAAUUCGACUUACGCCCAGCGUACGUAAGUCGGCCACAAAGGUUAUAAAAGUCGAUUUUCAGCUAAUCAGGAAGGGGAUUCGACUUCCAACUUAAUUUAGUCGAUAUUAAACUUCUGUUAAGCCGUUUUGAGGAUCUAGAAGGCGGCCGGAAGGCCGUUAAGCUAACGGGAGCGGAGAUCGGAAGGGUUGGAGAGCAGAUACGUGUCGGUAAUCAUAUGGGUUGCUAACGGGACCAUGUUUAGCAUUCCAUUGUGGUACUUUUCUGUAUUCAGUUUCUGAUUUGGGUGUAAAAACCUUUUAUUUUGUGUUUAUGAUUGAAUGAAGCUUUGAUUAUUUAACUAAUUGCUAUAUUGAAUUGUUUAUUUAUCUUUAAUUUAUCUUGCCAAGCUUGUUAAAAGAUCCUUAUGUGUUAAUGAUGAUUAUUUUCUGUUAAUUGUUAAGUGAAUUGAGUUGUGUGAACACCUGCUUGAUUGCUUGUCUCUUAUGAUUUUGAUGACCAUCGAGAUUAUAAGUCUAGGAAUAACGAAUGUGAAACUAGGAUUAACUUGGGAAUAAGUAAGUUAAUGUGUGAGCCUUGUUUGAUGACCAUCAACAAGAGGUUAAAUUGAAUUAGUAAUUCGAUUAACUAUAUUUACAAGUCUUGCUUGAUACGAACUGAACACUAGGAAGCAUGUUAGUUUAAUCAACUGAUCACUGUUUGAAUUGACUUGUUUGCUAAAGGAUUAGUUAUAGUGAACGCGAAUCUAAUCAUUUUAGGAAUCGGUGAACAUGAAUAAAUGAAUUUGUGUAUGCAAUUGUCUAUGUUUUUAAGGUGUAAUUUAUCUAAACCAAAGUACCUGAAGAGAUUUGCUUUCCUGUUAGUUUAUCGAGAGUUGUUAAUUGUUAGUUUGAGAUUUAUUAAACCAUUUUCUUUAUUAUUUUCGUGUGACCUGUAACCUAUAAUCAAAUAUAUUAAAUUAAUUCACCACCGUUCCCUGUGAUCGACACCCGACUUACCUAAGCUAUACUGUAAUCUGACUAGGUACACUGCCUAUAAGUGCAUAGUUAGUCUAAGUUUGUUAGGUUAUAAAUAUUAAAAUUAGUGGGUACUUUUGUGCACAUCAAGUUUUUGGCGCCGUUGCCGGGGAACGGCUUUCAAUUAAUUUAGUUUAUUUGAUUAUUCGUUAUUUGUUUUUAGUUAGUUUUUAUUUUUAGUUUGAUUUUCGAUGAUAUCAAUUCACUUGUCGGGAAGGUUCUUGUUGUUAUUUGCAGGAAUUUGGGACUGUACACAUUGCUUGACUUUACUUUUUGCAUGGGUUUCGAGGAUGAAAGCGAUUAGGGAAUUCUUGACUUGCUUAGCGUACUACUUUGUUGAUUUGUCAAACUCAAUCCAUGAGGCGUAGUAUAGCAAGGCGUAUGGUGGUGGUUAAGUGGAAGACCGAGCUCUUGCUGUUCUUGACUAGUUAGGUCACUUCUUGUUCCGCUUUUAGUUAAAGGUGCAAGGAAAACAAAGGAAAUAUUCUAACGGGUCCCGAAAGUGGGUGUUUUCGCAAACCAAUUCUUGCAUGCAAAGGUUUUUAAUCAACCAUUGUUGUUUGAUCUUGACAAAGAUAAGUGAUUGUGACGUCUCAUUUUUUUUCACUCAUCGGAAAGUCAUUUGCUGAAGAAAUUAAAAAGAAAAAAAAAUUAAGUUUUAAGUCCCUUAAUUAAAUAAUUAAAAGAAAAGGAAGUUAAAUUAAAGAAAAAGGAAAAGUUUCAUUUAAGUUUACUUACGCCAAGCAUAAUAAACCCCGGAUCGCGUAUGGAUUUUCAUGAAAUUGGGGUUACACCCAAUGUAACAUUGUGUUACGCCCAGCGUAAGACGACGACAAGGUUAUAUCUUUUGACCCUUGACUUUUUUGUUACUUUUUCACAAUCCCUUUCGCACACACAAAACUGUGACGNCACACACAAACUGUGACGGACGAAGUCUUUCCAAGAAUCUCGAUUUUUCUACUUUUCUUGUAAAAUUCGGCACACAAGUAAGUAUUUCGGGUACUCAAUGUUAUGGAUUUAUGUUUAAAUCGACGAAAUUGGCUGCAAAUUGCCUUUGUUCGAAAUCUAGGGUUUAUAUAGUUCUUGAAUUAGGGCCGAUUUCGCAAAUAUAUGUUCUGAUUACCACUUAAAUGGACCGAUUUCUAUCAAUUAACUAAACCCUAGGACUUAAUUUGGUCUUAAUCCCGUCCCACACCCAUCGAUUUAAACUCUGGGACGUACGCCUAGCGUAACCCCUGUUGACUUCAAUUCUUCACUGCUACACAUGUUUCCCUGUUAAGUGUUUGCUAAUAGACAAGGAAUUUACAGGGAUUGAUUCAUAUUUUUAGGGAGGUCCCGUUUUUUUUUCUACUAUGUAGGACCACGCAAUCCUUAUGCUCGAUAUGCCCAUGCUGGGUUUAUUACUUGUAGAUUGGCUUAAUUUAAAAAAAAUUGAUUUGGGAACAAGCAAAGGAACCAGGACACAGACUCGUGAACUUGGACGUACGCCCAACAUACGCUGGAUGUACGCCCAGCGUACAGACCAUGUCCAGCUCCAAUUUUUUUUGGUUUAAAAAUUUGUUAAUUCUGUGAAAUUGUGUUUGGUUUUGUGUUUGUGUUUAUUUGUGCAGAUUAUGGCCCGAAGAACCCAACGGACUAACCCACCCGAGGAUGUGACCGAUCACCGUUUCUUACAAUUUCCGCAAACGCUGAACGAUGCAACCCGGACACGAUAUGUCAACAGUUUGAGUUUGCUGCUCACCAAGGAGAUCGACAUAGCACCCUCAUUUGAUUGGGACUUGGCGACCCGGACUGGACUAGCUGCACUGAUCCAGAAAUUUUUGCAAUACACGCACUCGGACGCGAGUGGUGUGGAUUUGUUCGUGUGUCAGGGAUGGGCAUGAUUGUUCAAGAUCCAGGAGCCUGUUUAUCGGGAAUUUUUGUUGGAGUUCUACGCUACAGUUUCCUAUGAUCCUAGGAAGGCACCCAAUGACAGGAUAGCUUUUGCCUUUAGACUGGGGGAGUGAGCCGGGAAUGCAGCGUGAUAGAGCUUGCAACUCGAGUGGGUAUUUACACAGGGGAUUAGACGAGGAGUGUCCACUUCCCGGCAUUCCUUGCUGAUUGUCUUACGGAGCGGCCAUACGACUAUAACGAGAACACUUUUUGGGCCAAGAUUACCGGAGGCGUUUAUAUGCCAUCCACUGCACGGGGUAGGAUGAUACGGUUUACUACCUACAGAUUGCUGCACCGGUUGAUUUCCAUGACUCUCACGCAUCACAAGAACAGUGAGAGUGUGCCUUCGACAGACUUGUAUUUCCUAUGGGCACUUGUUACUCCAGGGAGGCACCUGAACCUUCCCGUUGCUUUAGCUGCAUAUUUGGGACGGAGUGCCAGGGGACUUCGGGAGGAUAGCCCGAUAUACGGAGGGCAUUUUAUCACGCGGUUAGCCCGAUCAUAUCAGUUGCUGACGCGUGAGAUCACGAGAUCGAUGGCGUUCCACGAUAUGAGGCCGAUGAGCCUUCAGCUGUUGGAGUCGAUGCGUGUAUUGGAGCGGGGUGGAGAUGGUGUCUUGUGAGUACGAGUAGAUGAUGUGGCGGACGAGGAGGGUGCCGCCGAGCCACAGCCNCGGCGUAGACCUGCUCCUCGGGGAGCGCAGCAGGGACCUGAGCCGGAGAUUGAUAUGCGCUACCUAGCUCAGGGCAUUGACCGUCUUGACAUGAGGGUCCAGAACCUUAGCGAGUAUGUUGCACAUGUGGACAGGCAACAGCAGUGGUAUGGGGAUGCGUUGAACGCAUUGUUUGCCCACCAGGGGUUUCAGUAUUCGGUUCCCUACCCACCACCAUUCCAGCCACGACAUGAUGGGGCCGGUACUUCGGGGACACAACAGCAUGAUGAUGGAGAUGAUGAGUGAUCCUUUUUAUUUUUAUUUUUGUGUUUAUUUUUGUGUUUUUUUUGUGUUUAGUUUAGUAUUUUUAUUUGGUAUGUAAUUAAACUUUAAUUUAGUUUGUUUUUAUUUUUGUUUUCCAUGUUGAUGCUCUUUGGUUGUUUAGAUUUCUGCAGAAUUUUCGCCUUUAGAAAGCUAGCAGUAAGUUCAGCAGCUAGGUCCGACUAUUGCUAGAGAGAGCCGUGUGAGAGUUCGAAGAUUAUAGUCAAGACCCACAAUUUGUCAUAAGUGUGGGGUGCAUAUUGAUUUCGUGAGCGAUUGUUUAGAAGAUUGGCAUAUUUUUACGAUAUUUUGACUCUUAUGAUAUGGAUGAGCUGUUCCCACACCAUAGAGUUCUAUUUCGAUGCGAGGAAGACGUAUCAUCCCGGCUGCCAUGACAUGGUUGACACUUUCCUAUGUUGUGGGGGAUUUUUGUUUUCAUCGCGAGAGAAGAGAUGUCUUUCUUGACGAGACGACGUGGUCNUGGUUACUAUACUUUGCAUUUAUUUGCAAUAUUUUGCACCACAUUUUUGAAGAUGGCGGUCUUGAUUUUAUUUUUCGGCAAAUUCAGAAGUAGCAGUUCCAGUUUUCAGUCUUUCGGCGAUAUUGGAAGCAACUUGUAGCAGCCCCAUUCGAUCUCGCCACAACUACCCAGGGGAGUCUGUUCCUUUUUCUCCCUUUUUAUGUUCUUAAUUCGUUUUAUCAUUCAAUGAGGGCAUUGUAUGAAAUAAGUGUGGGGUAGGGGAUCGGUAAAAGUAAAUUAAAAUUAUAAGAAAAAAUAAAAUAAUAGUUAGGAAAUUGCUAGAUUUAGGAAAUUUAAAAUUUUAAAAACUUGAAAUAAUAGUUUAAUUUAGAAAAAUCUAGUGAUAAUUUAAAUUUUGCUAAUAUUGUAUGAAAUGAUCCGAUGAGAACUCAAAUGUUUAGUUGAGCCAAUAUACGUUAUAGUGCAUUUGUGGCCUCCCUUAUUUUAGUGAAAUCAUGGAACAAAAACAUAACCCCGCUUGGUUUGAGGGAUGCAAUAUGUUUAGCAGCCUAAACCUGAAAUGUAUCCAGGAAAAUUAUUAUCAUUAACCAAUAAAGGUUGAGGUUGAGCGCUCUGCUUAAGCAUGUAGGUUUUGAGUGAAAAAAAAGUGAGGUACAUGUAUAAAAAAAAGAGAGAAUUACGAGAAAAGUUUGAAGAAUUUUGGAGCAAAUAAAGUGAAGAUCAAAAGAUCAAAAUUCCAAGAAAUUUCAAAAAGUUGAAGAUACCAGAAAUCAAAUCAACAAAGGUGGUGAAUUCAAAGAAAUUAAAGAUCAAAUGUCAAAGAAUUGAAGAAUUCCAAAAGAGCUCCAUAGUGGUAUCGAAAAAUUGUAAUUCUAGAUUAUGUAUGCUUAGGUUGCUCAACUAAAAAUACCUUGAGGUUAGGAGGUUUUCUGCGGAUGGAUUCGGAGGGUUGCAUAAAAUGAGCAUUGUUCGGAAAAAGUGGGCAAGUGUUUAUGAAGAUUGUGAGUAUUUAAAGUAGGGGGGGUACUUUAGGAAAAUUUUAGACACAAAUGCAUGCGUUGCGGUCUUGACAUAAUGGCUGAGUUUUAAAUGGAUUGUUUAGUGCGAUAUUGGUAAAAUAAAAGUAAAUUUGCUUGGGGGCAAGCAAAGGCUAAGUGUGGGGUAUUUUGAUAUGUGUAUUUUUAUAUAUAUUUUUAUGCAUUAUAUCUUAAUAUUUUGGCCUUUAUUAUUCUCUUUUAGAACUAAAAAGUACUCAUAAUGCUUUGAAUUAUGUUUUGCAGCUAUUCGUUGUCGAUAAAGCACAAAAGAAAAGACUGAAGCGGAAACCGGGCUUAGAAGCUAAAAGUAAUUAAAAAUGCUGGAGGAACAAUUACGCCCCGCGUAAUACACUUCUACGCUAAGCGUAGCGACCAAAUUGAAUUACGCCCAGCGUAACUUAAGGGUACGCCCCGCGUAAUGGCUGGCACCGGAUAAACUCAAUCGCGUAGAAAUCCUUAGUACGCCCAGCGUAAUCCGACUUACGCCCAGCGUACGUAAGUCGGCUACAAAGGUUAUAAAAGUCGAUUUUCAGCUAACCAGAAGGGGGGAUUCGACUUCCAACUUAAUUUAGUCGAUAUUAAACUUCUGUUAAGCCGUUUUGAGGGUCUAGAAGGCGGCCGGAAGGCCGUUAAGCUAACGGGAGCGGAGAUCGGAAGGGUUGGAGAGCGGAUACAUGUCGGUAAUCAUAUGGGUUGUUAACGUGACCAUGUUUAGCAUUCCAUUGUGUUACUAUUCUGUAUUUAGUUUCUGAUUUGGGUGUAAAAACCUUUUACUUUGUGUUUAUGAUUGAAUGAAGCUUUGAUUAUUAGACUAAUUGCUAUAUUGAAUUGUUUGUUUAUGUUUAAUUUAUCUUGCCAAGCUUGUUAAAAGAUCCUUACGUAUUAAUGAUGAUUAUUUGCUGUUAAUUGUUAAGUGAAUUGAGUUGUGUGAACACCUGCUUGAUUGCUUGUCUCUUAUGAUUUUGAUGACCAUCGAGAUUAUAAGUCUAGGAAUAACGAAUGUGAAACUAGGAUUAACUUGAGAAUAAGUAAGUUAAUGUGUGAGCCUUGUUUGAUGACCAUCAACAAGAGGUAAAUUGAAUGACUAAUUUGAUUAACUAUAUUUACAAGUCUUGCUUGAUACGAACUGAACACUAGGAAGCAUGUUAGUUUAAUAAACUGAUCACUGUUUAAAUUGACUUGUUUGCUAAAGGAUUAGUUAUAGUGAACGCGAAUCUAAUCAUUUUAGGAAUCGGUGAACAUAAAUAAAUGAAUUUGUGUAUGCAAUUGUCUAUGUUUUUAAGGUGUAAUUUAUCUAAACCAAAGUACCUGAAGAGAUUUGCUUUCCUGUUAGUUUAUCGAGAGUUGUUAAUUGUUAGUUUGAGAUUUAUUAAACUAUUUCUUUAUUAUUUUCGUGUGACCUGUAACCUAUAAUCAAAUAUAUUAAAUUAAUUCACCACCGUUCCCUGUGAUCGACACCCGACUUACCUAAGCUAUAUUGUAAUCUGACUAGGUACACUGCCUAUAAGUGCAUAGUUAGUCUAAGUUUGUUAGGUUAUAAAUAUUAAAAUUAGUGGGUACUUUUGUGCACAUCAAUAACACGAACCCAAUCAUCCUACCGGGAUGGAAUACUCUCGGCCCACAACCAUCGGGUUGGAAUGCCCAAACACCUAUACGUACAACACUAGCUACUGUGGGUCUAAUCAUCCCUUAAGAUGGAAUACCCCAGGCCCCUCAACCAUCGAGUUGGAAUGCCAACAUACUAUGAGUCCAAUCAUCCUACCGGGAUGGAAUACUCUCGGCCCACAACCAUCGGGUUGAAAUGCCCCACUUCCUAUACAUACAAUAACUACUACUACUACUAUUACUAUGGUCCAAUCAUCCCUCGGGAUGGAAUAUCCCAGGCCCCUCAACCAUUGGGUUGGAAAGCCAAACUACUAUGAGUCUAAUCAUGCUACUUGGAUGGAAUACUCCUAGCCCACAACCAUCGGGUUGGAAUGCCAAUCUACACUAGCAGACAUGCACACAUAACAGGCAUACAUAAAACACUCUAAAGAACCAACACACUAGGGCCCUAUCAUCCUACCGGGAUGGAAUACCCUUUGCUACAACUCAACAUACAUAACCCACGAGUACUUCCUACCGGUGUACAUGGUGCAAGACCAACUACCAGUCUAUAAAUAAUCACUACCCAACUACCAGGGCGCUGAUCCAAUGGAACUAGCCAUCAUACAACUAUCCAAUACUCAAGGAUACUAAGCUAACAAGGCAUAUUCUUAUAUCACUAUCUCAUCUACCAGGGUACUAGCAAACAUAUCAUCACAUAACAUAACAGGCUCUAACAACAAUUCAAAGGGCCGACCUUGGUGCCUUAGACCCUUGAGUACAGUGAGGAAAACUCACCUAGCAACUGCCAGAAUCCUGCAACUCUCUGACUGCUGACUCGCCGGGAAUCCCAACUAUCAUAUGAGAUCCAUCACAUAAGAAACCAUCACAACUUUCUAGACCAAGGGCCCAUAACACUCAUUAAGUCCGUCAUCCUCUUAUUGGGCCAAGACCCAAAGUCAAAUCCUCAUGCAAAGCCCAAUAUUGGCCCAAUUUACUAAAUUGGGCCCACCUCACCAAAUGGGCCUACAUCCAAGGUCCACAAUAAUUAUUGAGUCCAAAAAUACUCCAUCCGUAAUGCUCAGUCACGGCCCAAGCCCCACUAGCCCAAUCACUUAAGGCCCAAAAUCAAAGCCCAACAGAGGGAGUACGCGAGGCGUACCCCUCUUGGUACGCUGGGCGUACAUCGAUGCUCGCAGAUUGGAGUCGGGACACAGACCCACUACGUUGGGCGUACAUCCAUUUGCGCGGGGUGUAAUCUCGCUGAACUAAAAUCCCACAUAAGUUCUUAAUGGCUUAAGCUCUUAAUCCCAAACUUCAGAUCCAUAGACCAAAUAUGCCUAGGAUUCAUAAAGUCUCAAACUUUAUUACUUGGGACGUCCAUAAAGCUCUUAACUCACGGUCUUAAUCCAUUAAGACCUACCUAUCUCACGCAUGAGACAACCAAAGCCAUUGGGACCUCAUUUUUCUCACUCAAGACCUCUCCUAAGGUCUGAAAGGACAGCUAAUCUCAACUAACUCGCAUCAUGCAUCACUUUGGGGUUUUUGGGACAAGAAUGGUGUCCAAAACUUCAUAAUACAUAGGUCUACAGAAUAUGUUUGUCAAGUAAGAGACUUUAUACCUCAAAAGGGCUCCAGAAGAUGAUGCCUUUCCAGAUCUACGAGCUCUAGCCACCCCACUCCUUCUUUGACAACUUCUUCUUUCUUCUUCUAGGCUUUCCUUUGCCAAACCAAGCUCUCCAAGGUCAAAUAUCCACAACAAUGGAAGAAGAACGGCUACUUAGGGUUUCUGAGGGUAAGAGGGCAGAUAUGGAGGCUGGGGUUGGAACCAUAAUGUUCCUUAUAUAGUGGUUGGCCCUAAAAUUAGGGUUUCUGGAUGAUAGACAUACGCUGGGCGUAAUUCCAGUACGCUGGGCGUACGCCGAGGGAUCCCGCUUUUCAUUAAUUCGAUUACGUUGGGUGUAACCCAGCCUACGCUGGGCGUACCCACGCGUGUCCCAUGCAUGCAUUGCCUUACUUUGUCAACUUUUUCCAUCAAGUGGCAUAAGUGACAAUAUCUUCAAAGUGUCAUAGCUCCUUUAUUUUAAGUCCAUUUCCGACAAAAUUUAUAUCCACGAAAAGGUGGAGAGAAGCCCUACACUUCUAGCAACACAUCCCGACCCAAAACCUUCUCGAAUAUAACCCAUUGCCCAUAGAAAACCGAAACGCUCUUACUCUUUGAUCUCGGGGAACCAUAAAUAACUACUCUUAGAAUGGGGCGUUACAUUUGAGAUCGUGAAACUUCAUAGCAGAGAAGAACCAAUUUUCUUCGAUAAACUGAAUUGACGUGGUGAAAAUGAAGCCAAACGUUUGUUAAAUUGUUUCAUGUUUCUUUGCAGUUUACACUUCCUCCAUCUAAAAGUCAAAAAUAACUUCAAACCAAAAGCUUUUCAAUUGAAACACACAAUGGUACAUUCCCUUGCACAAAAAAAAUUCAUUACAAAUUAAACCUAGAGCAAAAAAAAAGAAUAGAAAAAUGACACAUUUUUUUAUAAAUCUUUGACCAAAUCGCCCGUUUCAAAAAACGGUGACAGUGGUUGAAAGAUAAUCUAACCUUCGUUUCUUUAUGAAAUUCAUAAAGAGUGAAGUGCAUGAAAAAUUCCUGAAAAAAAAAACCAAAAUAUCCAUGGAAUGAAUGUAAGAUCACACGAAUUCCCAAAAUACCCUUUAAAUAAAAGUUUAUUCCAUUCAUCAAAAAAAAUUUAAAAGUCACCACUCUUUUUUAUCUCCCAUGCUCCGUAAACAAAACCCAAACCAGUAGAUUAAGUUCCUUUUGAUAAUAAUUUGAACCAAAUGCCCCUGCUUGCUUACACACCAACUACAAAUGAGAAAUAACCCAACUUUAAUUAUAGAUCUAAACAAAGGGGAACUGCAGUGACCAUUUAAAUUAAAAUCGACAGGUUAAUCUUUCCGAUCGAUUUAUGGUUCCGUUCAUUUCCAAGGACCAGGAACAUCAAUAUGGGUUUUUGCUCAUUUCCAAUCUCCAAUCAACGAAAACAUGAAGAAAAUCGAAAACAUUAGCUAAUGAAAGUGGUUUUACCUCAAAUUAUAAGUCAAGGUCAAGAAUGCAAACCUGGACAUUGAUAAAACAAAAAAUUAUCAUGGACCGACAAAUGAAAUUGCAAAAUUGGCAAGAAACACGAUUAAUCAUAAAUUUGAAGCAUGGACAUUGAUACACGCCUUAUUAAUACACAAAUAAAUGCUAUUUCUUUCAUUUAGCCCAAAAUUAUAGAAAAUUUAAGCAAAAGGAGAAUUUGCCUCUUUCUUCUUUCCUCCAUAGAAGAGCUUGUAUCCACCAUAAAUAAAUACUCCCCACCCCAUUAAAGAGACAAUAAGAAACUGAAAAUACACACACACACACACAAACAGAUUCAUAUCAUCAAUAAAAAUAUCUGGAUCAUAGUUUUUCAUUACAGUUUGAAGAAUAAAUUCUUUUUUAGCCAAUUCCUAAUUUAUAUAGAAAUUUAGAAACAACAAUGUUCUAUUACUUGUUACUGUUAUUAAACCAACUGACAAGCAACCAACAUCAAAAUUCAAAAGUUAAAACUUAAACAUGUAAUUGAGUGAAAAAAUGCAUAUAAAGAAGGUAAUCCAUGUCAGGCAUUUGAUCGAACAACUUGCCUGCAAUCUGAUUUCUAUUCUUUUAGUUAUUCUAAGUGUUUGAUUUCUAUCCUUCUAUUAACUUUGAGUGGGUUGUUCAUCAUCAAGACUUUCGUUUCAACGAGAUAUAAGGCAUAAGACUAAUCAAAUCAAGAGACAUCUGAGAAAUGUAGAAGAACAUGGAUUAUUGACAUCAGUCAACAGACAACCAAAUUAAGAGAAAAGGAUCAUCACCAUCACCAACGACACUGAUAACCAUGAAAUUGGUAUCAAUAUUGUCGAUUUCAAAAGAAAUCAGAAAAACGGAAGAAAAAGGAACCUGAGGUGAGACGGUGUAGCUGUAGGGUACGAAGCUGGUGGCGGUGAAGGCUGUGAGAAAGGGGACCGACUGGUUCCAGGGUCCUGUGAGAGGUUAUCGACAGCGGUGCCUGAGAAGUUGUAAGCGACGGAGAUUUCUGAAGGCCAUUCGAGAGAGGCUAUCGGCCACAAAGUUUUCCUAUGAUAGAGAAGCCGACAAAGAUUAUUCGUGUCUUAGAGAAUAUCGGUGGUUUGGAGGAACGGUGGAAGGAACUGGAAAUGGAAAUAUAUGCAAAUGGUUUAAAUCGAGAAAAUCGAGAAGCAUCGGAA